Xiphophorus couchianus (Monterrey platyfish) is the source of this 2531-nucleotide long non-coding RNA. RefSeq lists it as uncharacterized. NCBI's taxonomy places the organism in Eukaryota, Metazoa, Chordata, Actinopteri, Cyprinodontiformes, Poeciliidae. The record is from RefSeq and is a predicted model, not a curated record. The transcript has 2 exons.
AAAUAAAAUAACAGAGAUAAAUAAAAACAAGAGGACGCGCAUCGGCACCAACCCUUGCCUUACAAUCCUUUCCUGGCCUUCAGAUUGUCGAAGCAUCCGCGGCUACUUGUUUUAGCCUUCUCGGAGGAUUUCUGGUCCGAUCUGCUCACGCACGGCUCCAGACAGCGGCGAGACGCGGCGAGACGCGGCGGCGGCGGCAGUGUGUUGCAGGAGUUGCGACUGAGCGAAUUGUCCGCAUGAACGCAGCUGUCAUCCAACACCGAGCGCGUCAAACCGACCUGGGCUAUGUUUCUCACGAGCCGUUGCUAUGGCACCCGACCACAAGACAAAUGGCAUUCACCCGCAGCAACUACUCAAAAACACGCCGAUCAAGCGGCGACGGAUGGGCGGCGGAGUCCUCGUCCUUACCUGCAGGUCGAUCGGCGCGCUCCUUCCUUAAUUGUCUGCCUGGUUGUUUGUUUUCCCCAGCGACGGCAGCAUCCCUGGGAUCUUUUUUUUUUUCUUUCUGUCCUCCCUUCUUUCUUUUUUUCGUCUUUUUUUUCACCUGAAAUCCAAACAACUUCCGGGCCCAUGCUGGGAUACAGACAGAGCUGUUGAUCCAGUGAUUGUCGAAUGCAUCGAUACACACAUAGGACACAAACAAUAUGUUGACGUUUAUAGUUUCAUAACAACAUAGGCUCUUAGAAAUUGCACAAUCACAGUGAGAAUGUGUGUUUUGAGCGCUAUCAGUCUAGCAAACCAGCAACAGGUUUUACGUAAAGGCCCGGAAUGUGUAUUAUUAUUUUUAUUAUUUGCACUUAUCUUGAUCAUUAUAAACACUUAUAAGUAAAAAUGUUCAGUACCUGCGGAUACACCCGAUAAUGACAGCAGGUAAAAAUUAGUAAUGACUUUGCUUCUUUUAAUAUUGCAUUUGUACCACAAGAUGGCAGCAAAUUGUUGUUUUUGGCACAAUCAAACAGGUGUAAAAUUCUAUUGCAUUAGGCAAAGUGCAAUUCUGUUAUGAAACAUCUGUUAUGAUGUUCAGGUUUUGAGAAAAAUAUUCAUUGCAGAACUUUAUUGAAUAAAUUUAAACAGCAUGGUUAUGUACAAACAUAGCUCCAAAUAAUUGAUCUGACAUUUCUGUGCUAUAGCCUUUUAAAAUCUAAUAGAGAAAACAUUUUUAAAUCACCCAGAUAAACAAUAGAAUUAAAGAAUUAUCUUAUCUUUUGCACUUCUGAAACAAACACCUGCACAAGUCUAUAAGUCUUCAAAUGAGUGUGAAGUUAAAAGAAAGUGAUACGAGACCAUACAAGGUGUUGCAUCUCUCUGACUGACAGGAAACGUAAUUCCAUCAAGAGAUCAUGCCAGAUGAAAAAUUUAUCCAUCCAUUUUUUGUCUAUACUUGCUUUAUCUAUAAAGCAAGUAUAGACAAUACAUGUUGUGUUAGCACAUACUAAAUGUUAUGAUAGCAAUAUAUUUGUUAAUAAAGCAAGUAUAUUGUCUAUACUUGCUUUAUGUUAGGUUCAGUGUCACAGGGGAGCUGGUUUCUAUGUCUGCUGGGCAAUAGUAGACAUGCAGAAUACAACAUGUACAAGUGACAAGUCCUUCACAGGGCCAUAAUAGAGACAGGUGUCACAAACAGUCACUCAUACCGUGCUUCUCAAUUCCAGUCCUCAGGGCCCCCUGCUCUGCAUGUUUUAGAUGUGCCUCUAUACCAGAACAGCUGAUUCAAAUGAUUGCAUGACAUCUUCUGCAGCCACCAAGUACUACAGAUGCCUGUUAAUCCCCCAAAGAUUCAAUCCAGGUGUGUGGCAGAAGGGAAACACCUAAAACAUGCAGGGCAGGGGGGCCUGAGGACCGGAAUUGAGAAACACUGUUAGUGCAAUUUAGAACCUGCAAUUAACAUAACAUGCAUGGUUUUGGCUGUAGGAGGAAAGGCAAAAGAACACAGGGUGUGGAAAAAUGGGUUGAGUGUUCUCAUUUAACUUUACCUACAGCCUAAAUCUUUCCAAAUUGGAAAGUUCUAAAAAUCAAAUAAUAAUUUUUUAAAAAUCCAUCAAGGUAGAUUUCAAAGCACACUUCCUUUCAGAACACAGAACUGAAAGAAAUAAUGAGGAUGAAAUGGGAUUUACAUGCAGAAAGGCCCAAAUGUGAAUCUGCAUGUAGAACAUGAAGAUGAAGUCAGAAUCUUGUUUGGUGCCAUGCCAAUCCAAUGGAACAUGUGAAGCUGCCUGCCUGAUAAAAAAAUAAAUUUCCCAAAUUUCCAAACAUAUGGACAAUGUAGAGACAGGUAAAUUUGCCCGGAAGGCAGCAAAUGCAACAGUGGACAUUGAUAUUUUAGACACUUUUCUUGUUCCAUCAGUCAAGAACUGAUGAUGAUGACAAAUCUUCCAAACAAACAAACAAAGAGCACUCAAACCUUGCUUAAGAAAUGCCUCUCAACAUAAUAACAUGUCCUGCAAACCCUGCAAAAUGUAUCUGAAACCAACUGACGAUUUAUUGUAGGAACUGCAACUGAGAGAUGCUCAAUAAACAAGACAUAUAUCUCUGUA